GGGGAAGGGCUGCACCCCUCCAACGCCAGCCAAUUCCUGCACUUUCUGCAGGAAAACGGCUGCUAACUGAAUUCCAAGCUGGGGGAAAAAAAAAAACUGUAAAGCAGAGAGGAGAAAGAAUUUCAUGAGUUCUGCACAAGCACUCACAUCCAGGAAGGAGCAGCUCCCUCAUUCCAGGAGAAUCCUCCCAUCUCCAGCUCCUCUCCACCCUGAGGAAUCACCCCUUACCCCGGUGUGCUCCGAGCAGUGCAGGAUGAUUUCCAGCUGGAUCAAUUCCUGA
This 280-nucleotide long non-coding RNA is filed under the name Chloebia gouldiae (Gouldian finch). RNAcentral's name for it is "Erythrura gouldiae (Gouldian finch) lncRNA (ENSEGOG00005017204.1)". The record is from RNAcentral. Lineage: Eukaryota; Metazoa; Chordata; Aves; Passeriformes; Passeridae.